This 74-nucleotide transfer RNA is filed under the name bacterium. It matches the Rfam family "tRNA". From Rfam's summary of the family: Transfer RNA (tRNA) molecules are approximately 80 nucleotides in length. Their secondary structure includes four short double-helical elements and three loops (D, anti-codon, and T loops). The record is from Rfam by way of RNAcentral. RNAcentral also lists the same sequence under 6 other names.
CGGGAUAUGGCGCAGCUUGGUAGCGCGCUUGACUGGGGGUCAAGAGGUCGUCGGUUCAAAUCCGGCUAUCCCGA